Long non-coding RNA from Esox lucius (northern pike), 1339 nucleotides. Lineage: Eukaryota; Metazoa; Chordata; Actinopteri; Esociformes; Esocidae. The record is from Ensembl.
GUCGCAGCCCAAGUUGACAGUGCAUACAGGCAUAACAAACAGGUGGAGGAAAACAGGUACGUGGGAGACCGCAUGUGGGUAUCGCCAGAGGAGCGAAAAUGUUUAUGUUUAUUUUUAGGAUGGAGCAAGUACAGUACUCCACGGCACCAUAGAAGUACUCCACGGCACCAUAGAGGUGCUCCACGGCACCAUAGAGGUACUCCACGGCACCAUGCGGAGGACUGCAACAAAGGAGUUGACUUAAGGAUGCCCCACGUGGGACUACACCAAAGUGGCACUGUUGUUGUUCCUACAAUGCUAAUUGUAAAUCUCAGAACCGCGACACGAAGGCUCUGCUCUCACAAGACACACAAUAACAGGAAACAGAUUGAAACACUGACUGCCACUAUGCUGAGUGAUGGUUCAUUUAUUCUGCCUUUUAAGAAUAGGUGGCUCCUGGGGACCCGGGUGUGAGAGCCACUCUGAUAUGGAUGAAAUGUGACAUAACUGCUUCUCUCAACGUUGUUAGUCCCCCAGCCACCCAGACAUGGCCUUGAUAUGGUCUUGGAAUUAAGGGAAUCAGAAGAAACUACGAGGUCUCGCUGGAUAAAGUUACUCAAUCCAGAAAUUCCAUCUGCCUUUCUUUUGUGUUGUAAGUGCUAAGCUACUUUGAAUUGAGUCAAAUAGUGGUGAUGACACACUUAAAUGUUCAUUAAACUUUAUUUGCACAAACCCCUAAAGGACGUUUGCUCAUUCUUGCACAUUAUUAUUUCCGUAGGCCAAUACUUUAUUUGUACUUACACGUUGUAACUCUGAAACUAUAUACCAUUUCACUAAUUUUACAUAUUGACUCAUAAAUGUUUUGUUCUAUAUUAUGUAAACUGAUUCUGGUAAUGUCCGCUGGAAGAAUAGCUCUGUAUGGGGCCAGGUGCUGGUGUCUGACGCUAAUUGGGAAUCUCUGUGCCAGAAUUUAGGUGAUAUGGAGACUCAUUUUAUGUUGCGACCCACUAUGGUGAAAGAUCAGAGAGUAGUGCUAGUCAUAUUAGCAAUGUUCAAGGUUCCAAGUACUGUAUCUCUAACUAAUGUAAAAAAAAGUUAUGACUCAAAGCCGGUUACCAAAUGUUUCUGAGGUGAUAGACAUUUUGAAAUGUAUUGCUCGCUGUGCCAGUGGGAUCCAAUGCCCUCUCUCACAAAUUUUUAGCUUUGACACCUGUUUGUUGUUUUUGCCCUUACUUGUGUUCCUGAUCACUGUCUUUAUUUAAGUUCCUCCUUUCCUAUUGUAUCUUCUCGAUCAUUAUUUGGUUCUCAUGCCACUGUAAUGUUGAUUUGUGUUUUUGUGUGUAGUUUUUGUCACUUCUUA